UGGCUUAGAGGGUAAAGCAUCUGCUUGCAAUGCAGGAGACCCGGAUUCGAUCCCUGG
RNAcentral lists this transfer RNA (57 nucleotides) under Ovis aries (sheep). It matches the Rfam family "tRNA", at positions 8 to 63 of the family's 71-position model. From Rfam's summary of the family: Transfer RNA (tRNA) molecules are approximately 80 nucleotides in length. Their secondary structure includes four short double-helical elements and three loops (D, anti-codon, and T loops). Lineage: Eukaryota; Metazoa; Chordata; Mammalia; Artiodactyla; Bovidae. The record is from Rfam by way of RNAcentral.